AUGACUGAAUCGUUAUUGCAUGUCAUAAAUAUUGUCUUCGGGUUUCAUUAUAAAUAUCUCAUGCCCAUUAGUCAACAUGUUCAACCUCGACCUCUUUACCACAAUAGUACCUUCAUGGAUAACUUGAAUGAUAUCCCACAUUUCUUUUGCAGUUUCACAAUGAAAAACACGCAAGAACUCUCAUCGAGACUAAGAGUAAUAGUGAUGAUUGUUUUUGCUUUCAAACUAUGUUGCACAUUUUCUUUCUCAUCUUUGGUCCAAUCAUCUUCAACAUAUUUGUUCACCAUAAUACCAUUAACUUCAUUUGUGGGAAGAAAUGUAACUUAUUUCAUAACCUUCGAAAUAGCAUGA
Non-coding RNA from Vicia faba (fava bean), 351 nucleotides. NCBI's taxonomy places the organism in Eukaryota, Viridiplantae, Streptophyta, Magnoliopsida, Fabales, Fabaceae. The record is from the annotation of a GenBank genome assembly.